GGUUAAGCGACUAAGCGUACACGGUGGAUGCCCUGGCAGUCAGAGGCGAUGAAGGACGUGCUAAUCUGCGAAAAGCGUCGGUAAGGUGAUAUGAACCGUUAUAACCGGCGAUGUCCGAAUGGGGAAACCCAGUGCAAUUCGUUGCACUAUCGUUAACUGAAUACAUAGGUUAACGAGGCGAACCGGGGGAACUGAAACAUCUAAGUACCCCGAGGAAAAGAAAUCAACCGAGAUUCCCCCAGUAGCGGCGAGCGAACGGGGAGCAGCCCAGAGUCUGAAUCAGCUUGUGUGUUAGUGGAACGGUCUGGAAAGUCCGACGGUACAGGGUGAUAGUCCCGUACACCAAAAUGCACAGGCUGUGAACUCGAAGAGUAGGGCGGGACACGUGGUAUCCUGUCUGAAUAUGGGGGGACCAUCCUCCAAGGCUAAAUACUCCUGACUGACCGAUAGUGAACCAGUACCGUGAGGGAAAGGCGAAAAGAACCCCGGCGAGGGGAGUGAAAAAGAACCUGAAACCGUGUACGUACAAGCAGUGGGAGCACCUUCGGGUGUGACUGCGUACCUUUUGUAUAAUGGGUCAGCGACUUAUAUUCUGUAGCAAGGUUAACCGUAUAGGGGAGCCGCAGGGAAACCGAGUCUUAACUGGGCGUUAAGUUGCAGGGUAUAGACCCGAAACCCGGUGAUCUAGCCAUGGGCAGGUUGAAGGUUGGGUAACACUAACUGGAGGACCGAACCGACUAAUGUUGAAAAAUUAGCGGAUGACUUGUGGCUGGGGGUGAAAGGCCAAUCAAACCGGGAGAUAGCUGGUUCUCCCCGAAAGCUAUUUAGGUAGCGCCUCGUGAACUCAUCUUCGGGGGUAGAGCACUGUUUCGGCUAGGGGGUCAUCCCGACUUACCAACCCGAUGCAAACUACGAAUACCGAAGAAUGUUAUCACGGGAGACACACGGCGGGUGCUAACGUCCGUCGUGAAGAGGGAAACAACCCAGACCGCCAGCUAAGGUCCCAAAGUCAUGGUUAAGUGGGAAACGAUGUGGGAAGGCACAGACAGCCAGGAUGUUGGCUUAGAAGCAGCCAUCAUUUAAAGAAAGCGUAAUAGCUCACUGGUCGAGUCGGCCUGCGCGGAAGAUGUAACGGGGCUAAACCAUGCACCGAAGCUGCGGCAGCGACACUAUGUGUUGUUGGGUAGGGGAGCGUUCUGUAAGCCUGCGAAGGUGACCUGUGAGGGUUGCUGGAGGUAUCAGAAGUGCGAAUGCUGACAUAAGUAACGAUAAAGCGGGUGAAAAGCCCGCUCGCCGGAAGACCAAGGGUUCCUGUCCAACGUUAAUCGGGGCAGGGUGAGUCGACCCCUAAGGCGAGGCCGAAAGGCGUAGUCGAUGGGAAACAGGUUAAUAUUCCUGUACUUGGUGUUACUGCGAAGGGGGACGGAGAAGGCUAUGUUAGCCGGGCGACGGUUGUCCCGGUUUAAGCAUGUAGGCUGGUUGUCCAGGCAAAUCCGGAUAAUCAAGGCUGAGGUGUGAUGACGAGGUACUACGGUGCUGAAGUAACAAAUGCCCUGCUUCCAGGAAAAGCCUCUAAGCAUCAGGUAACAUCAAAUCGUACCCCAAACCGACACAGGUGGUCAGGUAGAGAAUACCAAGGCGCUUGAGAGAACUCGGGUGAAGGAACUAGGCAAAAUGGUGCCGUAACUUCGGGAGAAGGCACGCUGGUGUGUAGGUGAAGUCCCUGCGGAUGGAGCUGAGACCAGUCGAAGAUACCAGCUGGCUGCAACUGUUUAUUAAAAACACAGCACUGUGCAAACACGAAAGUGGACGUAUACGGUGUGACGCCUGCCCGGUGCCGGAAGGUUAAUUGAUGGGGUUAUCCGUAAGGAGAAGCUCUUGAUCGAAGCCCCGGUAAACGGCGGCCGUAACUAUAACGGUCCUAAGGUAGCGAAAUUCCUUGUCGGGUAAGUUCCGACCUGCACGAAUGGCGUAAUGAUGGCCAGGCUGUCUCCACCCGAGACUCAGUGAAAUUGAACUCGCUGUGAAGAUGCAGUGUACCCGCGGCAAGACGGAAAGACCCCGUGAACCUUUACUAUAGCUUGACACUGAACAUUGAGCCUUGAUGUGUAGGAUAGGUGGGAGGCUUUGAAGCGUGGACGCCAGUCUGCGUGGAGCCAACCUUGAAAUACCACCCUUUAAUGUUUGAUGUUCUAACGUUGGCCCCUGACCGGGGUUGCGGACAGUGUCUGGUGGGUAGUUUGACUGGGGCGGUCUCCUCCCAAAGCGUAACGGAGGAGCACGAAGGUUAGCUAAUCCUGGUCGGACAUCAGGAGGUUAGUGCAAUGGCAUAAGCUAGCUUGACUGCGAGCGUGACGGCGCGAGCAGGUGCGAAAGCAGGUCAUAGUGAUCCGGUGGUUCUGAAUGGAAGGGCCAUCGCUCAACGGAUAAAAGGUACUCCGGGGAUAACAGGCUGAUACCGCCCAAGAGUUCAUAUCGACGGCGGUGUUUGGCACCUCGAUGUCGGCUCAUCACAUCCUGGGGCUGAAGUAGGUCCCAAGGGUAUGGCUGUUCGCCAUUUAAAGUGGUACGCGAGCUGGGUUUAGAACGUCGUGAGACAGUUCGGUCCCUAUCUGCCGUGGGCGCUGGAGAAUUGAGGGGGGCUGCUCCUAGUACGAGAGGACCGGAGUGGACGCAUCACUGGUGUUCGGGUUGUCAUGCCAAUGGCACUGCCCGGUAGCUAAAUGCGGAAGAGAUAAGUGCUGAAAGCAUCUAAGCACGAAACUUGCCCCGAGAUGAGUUCUCCCUGAGACUUUAAGUCUCCUGAAGGAACGUUAAAGACGAUGACGUUGAUAGGCCGGGUGUGUAAGCGCAGCGAUGCGUUGAGCUAACCGGUACUAAUGAACCGUGAGGCUUAACCUU
RNAcentral lists this ribosomal RNA (2901 nucleotides) under Klebsiella pneumoniae. RNAcentral's name for it is "23S ribosomal RNA". It matches the Rfam family "Bacterial large subunit ribosomal RNA". Lineage: Bacteria; Pseudomonadati; Pseudomonadota; Gammaproteobacteria; Enterobacterales; Enterobacteriaceae. The record is from RNAcentral.